GUAGGGGGCAAGCGUUGUCCGGAUUUACUGGGGUGUAAAGGGGUGCUCAGGUGGAUUUAUUAGUCAGAGGGUGAAACUCCGAAGCUCAACUUCGGGAACUGCCUUUGAUACUGUAAGUCUAGAGUUUGAGAGAGGGCAAUGGAAUAUCUGGUGUAGCAGUGAAAUGCGUAGAUAUCAGAUAGAACACCAAUGGCGAAGGCAGUUGCCUGGCUCAAUACUGACGCUAAAGCACGAAAGUGUGGGGAGCAAACAGGAUUAGAUACCCUGGUAGUCCACACCCUAAACGAUGAAUACUAGAUGUUGGUCUUUUUAAAGAUCAGUAUCUUAGCUAACGCAUUAAGUAUUCCACCUGGGAAGUACGAUCGCAAGGUUG
RNAcentral lists this ribosomal RNA (373 nucleotides) under uncultured organism. RNAcentral describes it as "partial 16S ribosomal RNA". It matches the Rfam family "Bacterial small subunit ribosomal RNA", at positions 527 to 896 of the family's 1533-position model. The record is from RNAcentral.